AAUUAUCCUGUAGAUGAUCUCAACACAGCUCGAGGUUCUGAUGUAGCCACGCAAGCGCCUGGCCUCUACCAGUAUCCACUCGGGUAGGAUCUAAAAUAUCUUCUCCUCACAAAUCUAUGCUCUAAAAAUUAGAUCUAAAUCUGAUUAGGAAGAUCUUCAAAAAUCUUUCUAAACUUGGAGCAGCAGCCUAUCGAAGAAGUCUUGCAGCCUUCUGUUCCAGGCAUCACCAUGCCUUGGAUCUUUGCCAGAUGGACGUCCAACUCUUUGGACAUGAAGAGGGG
This 281-nucleotide long non-coding RNA is filed under the name Elaeis guineensis (African oil palm). RNAcentral describes it as "long non-coding RNA (EGUI_LNC050070)". The record is from RNAcentral. Lineage: Eukaryota; Viridiplantae; Streptophyta; Magnoliopsida; Arecales; Arecaceae.